AACUCGACCCAACCAAGCAAAUGGAGCGUAACUUGUCACGUGGAAAACGUAGCGUAGUUUUAUAUGUUUUUGGAAGCAUGUAAACUUUUAUUUUAUGAAGUCGUUUUUUGUAAGAGGUAUUUUGAAUCGAUAGAUGCCGGUAAAGUUGAUUUAGAGCAUUUGAACUAUUUAUGAACUGAAUUUCAUAAUUUUUAAAUAUUAUUUACUUACGGAUUAAAGAGUUGGAAAAUUUAUAAUUUUUGACGAUUUAUAUGAGUCGUUUGCUUAUUUAGGGUAUGCUUGUUUGGGUGAAAGUGGGAUGGAAGUGGAGAGGAGGGAGUCAUUUUCGCCGUAAACGAUUGCUUCCAUUGUUUGGUUCGUCGUAAAUAAAUUACGGUCGAAACUCGAGUUAAUUUGAAACGACGUAAUUGACUUCGGCUCAUCGUGUACUGAAGUCAAUUACGGUGAAGAGAGAUGAAGAAAAAAUAAUAAAAUAAUAUAUUAGGUAAAGAUAGUUAUAUUUAAAUAUAUUUAAUUAUGGUAUUAAUUACUUUUUUUAUUUAGUUGACAUAUUUAAAAUAUGAUAAAAAUUGAUUAGUUAAAUUUUAAUGUUUUUUUAUUUAAUUUGUACAAUUAAAAUAUGAUAAAAAUUAAUUAAUUAAUUAAUUAUUAAUAAUUUUAUUUUAUAAUUUUAUUGUUGUAUUACUAUAACUUAUGUACAAAAAAAUAAUAUAGUUAUUUUAAAUUAAAUUUAAUUAUAUAAAAAAUAUAAUUAUAUUAUUUUUAUUUAUUAAAUUAUUUAUUAUUUAUGUAUAAAUUAUAGUUUUAAAUCGUACACUUCGUAUUAAAUAAACAGUAAAACUAAUGAAACUUUACUUCCAUAACUACGAAGCAAACAACAAAAAAUAAAUAGUUUUCACCGAAUUUUAUUUCAAUCCAAAAUCUACUUCAACUCAAAGUUCAGCUCUGAUGAAACAAACAUGAACUUAUUGAUGCAAACCGCUUGCGGAUGUGUUUUUUGAAUUUUUUUUUUUACGA
Molecule: long non-coding RNA, 1017 nt
Filed under: Ananas comosus (pineapple)
Lineage: Eukaryota; Viridiplantae; Streptophyta; Magnoliopsida; Poales; Bromeliaceae
Description: long non-coding RNA (ACOM_LNC006755)
Source: RNAcentral